Molecule: ribosomal RNA, 260 nt
Filed under: uncultured bacterium
Lineage: Bacteria
Description: partial 16S ribosomal RNA
Rfam family: Bacterial small subunit ribosomal RNA
Source: RNAcentral
GACAGAGGGUGCAAGCGUUGUUCGGAUUUACUGGGCGUAAAGGGCGCGUAGGCGGUCGUGACAAGUCACUUGUGAAAACUCUCCGGGCUUAACUCGGGAACGGUCAAGUGAUACUGUCGGACUAGAGUACAGAAGGGGGCAACUGGAAUUCUCGGUGUAGCGGUGAAAUUCGUAGAUAUCGGGAGGAACACCGGUGGCGAAGGCGGCGACCUGGGUAGAUACUGACGCUGAGGCGGCGAAAAGCGUGGGGAGCAAACAGG